GUUUGGCCAACACAUGGACCCAGCUGACUCAGAUCGGGUGCGGAACGUCCUUCAGGCUCAAGGAUGCCGUCUCGCCGAACACACUGAAAAUUUCCAGUGGAGCCAACACCAGCCCGGCACCAGUAGCUGCCACGGAAUCCUCUUGUAUCCAUAACGGAAGCAUGAGCGACCACUGAAUGGAGCCGCAAUGCGGAGAGGUCAGACGUGGGCAUCCUUUGUGAAGUCCAUCCCGAAAGUGUUCCGCCAAAAGCCAGGGGAACAACAGGACGCUCCUAGAUGCAUUCUUUCAAGGGCUGUCCCCCACGUUAAAUGACCAGCUGACUCCGCUGGACUUGCCGACAGACCUGGACCCACUCAUCACUUUCACUUUAAAGACAGACAAGAGACUCAUGGAUCGGGAACAAGACAACGCCUUAGAAUCUCCAAUUAAUGCAUGUUUUUGGGAUGUGGAAGGAAAUUUGAAACUGUCAGGCCAACACUUCACACCACCUCCACCGUGCCGCCCCAAGUAAUCCGUCCAUACAAAAUAUGCAGAACAAAAAAGACAGGAAAUUAAGAUUUGUGUAAUAAUGUGAAAUGACACAGAACAAGGUAUUGAACAGAUGACAAAAGGGAAAUGGAAAAAGUCAUGGAAAACCAAGACAACAACUAAAAUCUAUCAAAUAAUCAAACAGCAAUGCAGCCCCUUGUCGGUGCAAAUGAACAUCAGAUGUUUCAUUCCUGAUUAAUGGCCUACAAAAAGGCCUCAUUGGCAAGGUGUGAGUUUUCAAGUAACUUUAUUAUCAGAUGUGUUGUACAUCCCGUUAAUUGGACACUGAAUUGCCUCUAGGUGUGAUUGUGAGUGUGACUGUUGUCUGUUUCUAUGUGCCCUGCAAUUGGCUGGAAAGCAGUUCAGGGUGUCCCUGCCUGCUCCCUGAUGACAGCUGGGAUUGGCUCCAACACUCCUUUGACCCUUGUGAGGUUUAAGCGGUAAAACAAAAAUGGAUGGAUUGAUGUGAUGUACAUCCAUGAUUUACAACAUACCUGAAAUAGCAAUGCAAUACAUGGGACUAUCAAGUGUCUUGAAGCUGUCAUUGCAAAGGCUUUUAUUGAAUAAAUACCAGUUGACCAGCUCAAUACUACUUCCCUGUGUCAUUUCGCAUCAUUACACACAGCUAUAUUACUGAUCAUUUUUGUUGUACUUUCUUUGUAUGCAUGGAUUAUUUGGGUCGUUCCCAACAUCUGGUGAAUUGUUCAUUGUAAUAGCGGCUUUGUACAUAUAUUUGAUGAGAAAAAUGCUGAGGUGUUAAAUACUUAUCCCAGUCACUGUAAAUAUUCGAUAAUAUUUUUCAAUAAGGCUUGCUAACUGCUGAGGGACACAAUUAGUCUUAUAAACCUCACCCUACAGGUUUUAUCAGGUUGUUCGUUUCUGCACAUCCCUUAAAAUGUAAUUCAACGUUAGCAUUCAUUGGUUCACUAUGAUAUUUAUUG
This is a long non-coding RNA of Syngnathoides biaculeatus (alligator pipefish), 1470 nucleotides long. RefSeq lists it as uncharacterized. The record is from RefSeq and is a predicted model, not a curated record. The transcript is spliced from 3 exons. NCBI's taxonomy places the organism in Eukaryota, Metazoa, Chordata, Actinopteri, Syngnathiformes, Syngnathidae.